UCUGUUUCUGUAUCUCUGAAGAGGAGUCUGAACACUGAUCAGGACAGGAGUAUUAGACGUGUCUGGCUCAGGAUGCAGUUACAAACAAAGCUGAUUCAACAAGGCAUGGUUUUAUCUACUACAAAGGAUAUCAUUUGGGAAGGAAUUUCUGGGAACUGCUCCCAAGAGAGCCAUUGGACCAUGUGGUAAACAACUCCUAGCUGAUAGAUUAUUGGGAAUAUUAACACCGUUCACAACGCUAUGGGGAGAAGACAACUGGAAGCUCCGUGUGGACAAACCUCCUAGACUCUGCCCCACGUAUCUCUUCCCUUGGCUGAUUUGAAUCUGUAUCCUUUCACUGUGAUAAACCAUAACCAUGAUUAUUACAGCUGUCAGCAAUUUCUUCUAUUGAAUUGUCAAAACUGAGGGUGGUCUUGGGAACCCCUGAACUCUAUUGUUGGUGUCAGGAGUGAGGGAAGUCUUGUGGACUAUACUCCCUGACCUCACAGGUGCAUUUUCCGACUUUAUUUGGACCAUUCUUUCCUCUCCCCAACAAUAUCAUCCCCUUCUUCAAAUAUGUUUCUGCUACAAACAUUAUCCUUUAAAUGGUUCCUUCGCUGCC
Macaca mulatta (Rhesus monkey) is the source of this 601-nucleotide non-coding RNA. The record is from RefSeq and is a predicted model, not a curated record. NCBI's taxonomy places the organism in Eukaryota, Metazoa, Chordata, Mammalia, Primates, Cercopithecidae.